This 305-nucleotide RNase P RNA is filed under the name Elusimicrobia bacterium HGW-Elusimicrobia-2. Its description in RNAcentral is "RNase P RNA component class A". It matches the Rfam family "Bacterial RNase P class A". From Rfam's summary of the family: Ribonuclease P (RNase P) is a ubiquitous endoribonuclease, found in archaea, bacteria and eukarya as well as chloroplasts and mitochondria. Its best characterised activity is the generation of mature 5'-ends of tRNAs by cleaving the 5'-leader elements of precursor-tRNAs. Cellular RNase Ps are ribonucleoproteins. Lineage: Bacteria; Pseudomonadati; Elusimicrobiota. The record is from RNAcentral.
GAGAUGAUUCGGACGGCCGCCCGCUCAGGCGGGAGGAAAGUCCGGACUUCACAGAGCACGGCAUCCGCCGAAAGGCGGAGGUCCGCCGAAAGGCGGAUACGGAAAGUGGCACAGAAACCAGGUACGGGCCCGCAUAAUGCGGGUGCCGUAGUGAAAAGGCUAAACCCUGCCGGAAGCAAGGCCAAGCAGUCCCGUUGUUUUUCUUCGCGGAAAAACGCAAGCUGCUCGUUUGGAAUACGGGACGGGUAGGCCGCAUAGAUGAAUGGCCGUUAGAACAGAAUCCGGCUUAUGGAAUCAUCUCCCCC